Epinephelus fuscoguttatus (brown-marbled grouper) is the source of this 304-nucleotide long non-coding RNA. RefSeq lists it as uncharacterized. The record is from RefSeq and is a predicted model, not a curated record. The transcript has 4 exons. Lineage: Eukaryota; Metazoa; Chordata; Actinopteri; Perciformes; Serranidae.
CACUGCCCCUAUGUUUUGGAAUUCUUUACUUGAUCUUUCCUCUGAAUGACCACUCCCUGGAUUCAGGACCUUUGGAGUCACCAGUGUCAUUUAGCAACACAUAUACGGAUGCAAGAUAUGAGAUGGUGAAGCAAUUUAAAGAACUGCAGGACAAGCUCCCUCCAGCGGCAGACACUUUGCCCAACUUUCCUCUGGAGUCAUCAGGAUCAUAUAAAAGGUGUAUUCAGGCAUGUGAGGCUGCAAGUAGAGAGCAACUGAGGUCAUCACAACUGCAUGCGUCUGUAUAACUUCAGGGUCCAUGGGA